Long non-coding RNA from Alexandromys fortis (reed vole), 2057 nucleotides. RefSeq lists it as uncharacterized. Lineage: Eukaryota; Metazoa; Chordata; Mammalia; Rodentia; Cricetidae. The record is from RefSeq and is a predicted model, not a curated record. The transcript is spliced from 4 exons.
CUCCUUGUCCAAACCAUUGCUUUUGUCUUCUUUAUUUCUCAUCCCCAGUCCUCCCUCUCAACACUUCAUCUUUCAGAACCCUUAUUCCUGCCGGUUCAGGAUGAACAGAACACAGAAAUGGGGUAGGAGUACAGAAGAAAUCAUCAAAGGUUACCCUGUUGGAUAGACGUUUUCCAGUAUGCUGUCAGAAUCUGGUGCCCUGCUUUCAGAAUGGAAUUCCCCCCUUGGAAGACGUGACCUAUAGUUCUAAAGAGCUCCAUGUCUCUGAGCAGAAAACGGAAGCGCUGGAUGACUUGUCUUGCAGGCAUCCACCUGGUCUGAAUAAAGGUCCUUGGGGAUGAGAAUCUUGCACGAACAUGAAGGAAUUCACCUCUCACUCUGACUCCUUGACGGUAUCGUGAUUGUUCAGGACAGCUGCAAGACAGAUUAAAAUUUUAUGUACACACCAGAAGUAGGAUCCUCAAAACCUCACAAUAUAGAAAAUAGCACCUGGCAGAGCUGGUGAGGUUCUGAAGCUGGCAAGGGUCCAGGUUUCCAGCCACAGCAGGCAGCUUCCUGGCUGUUGGUUAUGCCCAAGGCAGCAGCUUAUCGGAGCUUGCUCUUGUGGUGAGGCACCUUAAUCUGUUUCUUUAUCUUUUCUUUUUGUGAGGGGGAGGGGGGUCUCUCCCGUGGUACCAGAGGAUAACCUUGAACUUUUUUGACCUUGAACCUCUUAUCAUUCUUCCUAGGCUUCUGAAGAGCUGGGAUUAUAUGCGCGUGUCACUGUUCCCAGUUUAUGCAGUUUUGGGCUUCUUGCAAGCUGAACUCCAUCCUAGGCCCUAGAUCUAUUUCUUCAAGAAAAAUCUGAAAACCUCCCAAAGAUUCCGUGAGCUAUCUAUACUUUUUAAUCCCCUUCUAGCUAGAGAAUGAGAACCCUCUUAGAGAAAAUCUCAUCGCCUAUUUUUUGAGACAAGGUCUUGUCAUGUAGCUCAAACUCAAGGUACACACACCCCUACAUCCCCACCCUGCCCCAGCCUUCCUAACACUAGGAUGACAGGAAUUUACCAGCACACCACCAAGGGCACAUGUUCAAUGGGCACAAGGCCACAUGUAGGUUUAAGUACCGCCACCACAAAAAGAAGGAAGGGGGUGUCUUGGUUGAGGAAAAAGGAUUCAGUAAAGCCACAAUGUAAGUAUGAUUCAGGCUGUGUUACAAACAGUAACGAUGGUAUAAACUGAGAAGUGCUCAAAUCUAGAGCCCCGAAGAACUCAAACACUCAACCACAGCUGUCCUCCCAUCCUGGGAGUAAGCAAAGAUUCUGGGACCUGAAGCUUCCUCAGCCUUUCCAAGGAUUCCCCCUUAAGAAUUUUCUGCCUUGGAGAGAGGGCUCAGCAGUUAAGAGCACUUAGUGAUCUUUGAGAGGAUCCAGGUUUAAUUCUCACCAGCAACAUGGUGGCUCACAACCAUCUUUAACUCCAGUCCCAGGGGAUCUAAUGGUCUUUUCUGACCUCCCUGGGCACCAGGCACACAUAUGAUGCACAGACAAACAUUCAGGGAAAGCAUCCAUAUCCAUAAAAUAAACACAGUUAAAUCUUUUUUUAAAAGUCAUUUUCUUCCCAGUGGUAAUAAAUCAUACCAGGGAAAAGACCCAGUGAAGGAAGGAUGCUGUCAACCCGUCCAAUCCUAUAGUCCAAAGAGCCCCCAGGAGGUACCCUGGGUGAAGACCCCAGAGAAGGAGCAAGCAUAGAGGCCAGCAAAUGAUGUGAUCCUUUCUUCAAAAAUGUCACAGAGGAUGUCACUCAGUGACAGAGUGCUUAUCUAGCAUGCUGACAGCUCUGCAUUCAAUCAACACCAUCAGAAAUCCAGGAGAAACAAAACUAACCUGGGUUUAAACUGCUGGAACCAUACCUCUAACCAAACGUCCAGGCUUAUACUUGCAAUCCCAGUCCUUGGAAAGCUGAGGCAGCAGGACUGACAUAAGCCAAAAAUGAGCCUGGGGCUCUACAGUGAGUACCUAGCCAGCAUGCGAGUCUGUCUCAAAACAUUAUUAUUACUAUUAUUAUUAUUAUUAUUAUUA